CCUACGGGAGGCAGCAGUAGGGAAUAUUGCUCAAUGGGGGAAACCCUGAAGCCGCAACGCCGCGUGGAGGAUGAAGGUUUUCGGAUUGUAAACUCCUUUUGUUAGAGAAGAUAAUGACGGUAUCUAACGAAUAAGCCCCGGCUAACUCCGUGCCAGCAGCCGCGGUAAUACGGAGGGUGCAAGCGUUAAUCGGAAUCACUGGGCGUAAAGGGCGCGUAGGCGGGAUAGCAAGUCAGAUGUGAAAUCCUAUGGCUUAACCAUAGAACUGCAUUUGAAACUGUUAUUCUAGAGUAUGGGAGAGGUAGGUGGAAUUCUUGGUGUAGGGGUAAAAUCCGUAGAGAUCAAGAGGAAUACUCAUUGCGAAGGCGACCUGCUAGAACAUAACUGACGCUGAUGCGCGAAAGCGUGGGGAGCAAACAGGAUUAGAUACCCCUGUAGUC
This 440-nucleotide ribosomal RNA is filed under the name uncultured bacterium. RNAcentral's name for it is "partial 16S ribosomal RNA". It matches the Rfam family "Bacterial small subunit ribosomal RNA", at positions 338 to 795 of the family's 1533-position model. The record is from RNAcentral.